RNAcentral lists this ribosomal RNA (1002 nucleotides) under uncultured bacterium. RNAcentral's name for it is "bacterial SSU rRNA". It matches the Rfam family "Bacterial small subunit ribosomal RNA", at positions 355 to 1375 of the family's 1533-position model. The record is from RNAcentral.
UGGGGAAUAUUGGGCAAUGGGCGCAAGCCUGACCCAGCAACGCCGCGUGAAGGAAGAAGGCUUUCGGGUUGUAAACUUCUUUUGUCAGGGACGAGUAGAAGACGGUACCUGACGAAUAAGCCACGGCUAACUACGUGCCAGCAGCCGCGGUAAUACGUAGGUGGCAAGCGUUGUCCGGAUUUACUGGGUGUAAAGGGCGUGUAGCCGGGAGGGCAAGUCAGAUGUGAAAUCCACGGGCUCAACUCGUGAACUGCAUUUGAAACUACUCUUCUUGAGUAUCGGAGAGGCAAUCGGAAUUCCUAGUGUAGCGGUGAAAUGCGUAGAUAUUAGGAGGAACACCAGUGGCGAAGGCGGAUUGCUGGACGACAACUGACGGUGAGGCGCGAAAGCGUGGGGAGCAAACAGGAUUAGAUACCCCUGGUAGUCCACGCUGUAAACGAUGAAUACUAGGUGUGCGGGGACUGACCCCCUGCGUGCCGCAGCUAACGCAAUAAGUAUUCCACCUGGGGAGUACGAUCGCAAGGUUGAAACUCAAAGGAAUUGACGGGGGCCCGCACAAGCGGUGGAUUAUGUGGUUUAAUUCGAAGCAACGCGAAGAACCUUACCAGGGCUUGACAUCCUACUAACGAGAUAGAGAUAUGUUAGGUGCCCUUCGGGGAAAGUAGAGACAGGUGGUGCAUGGUUGUCGUCAGCUCGUGUCGUGAGAUGUUGGGUUAAGUCCCGCAACGAGCGCAACCCCUAUUGUUAGUUGCUACGCAAGAGCACUCUAGCGAGACUGCCGUUGACAAAACGGAGGAAGGUGGGGACGACGUCAAAUCAUCAUGCCCCUUAUGUCCUGGGCUACACACGUAAUACAAUGGCGGUCAACAGAGGGAUGCAAAACCGUGAGGUGGAGCGAACCCCUAAAAGCCGUCCCAGUUCAGAUCGUGGGCUGCAACCCGCCUACAUGAAGUCGGAAUCGCUAGUAAUCGCGGAUCAGCAUGCCGCGGUGAAUACGUUCCC